GGACAAGUGGGUCAUUUGACUGCAAUAUCUGUCACCCCAGUAUUCACCGGGGUAGAUUGAAGCCAUCUGGCUUGCUAGACAGGUGUCUCUUUUCUCCCUUGUAGCUCCAUGUUUGUCCCUCUCAACACUGAAAGUGCGUUAAAGGAGUCCACAAUUACCCAGAUAAAGAACUAACAGGAAUUUUUAGGGAAGCACUCACACAAUGAUGGUGAAUAACCACGUGGUCUUCCUGCUCCUGGAGAUGCAGCCUCUGCCCUUCAGGAUGCAUCCACCA
Molecule: small RNA, 274 nt
Filed under: Mesocricetus auratus (golden hamster)
Lineage: Eukaryota; Metazoa; Chordata; Mammalia; Rodentia; Cricetidae
Description: 7SK RNA (ENSMAUG00000003515.1)
Rfam family: 7SK RNA (bases 1-192)
About the family: 7SK was discovered as an abundant small nuclear RNA in the mid-70s but a possible function has only recently been suggested.
Source: RNAcentral